CAGUUUAAGAAAACCUAUGCUUGUUCUUAUCACAUGGCCAGUGGUUAUGAGGUGAGUUACUCAGCAAAAAGCCCACUCUUAGACAACCUCUAAGCACUAACUAAGACAUACUUAAAGCAAAGCACAAAUACAUGGAAAGGACAUAAAAGUCUUCAUCAAACACUACAUACAAGUCUUCAUCAAACACAAUCUUGAAGGGGC
This 201-nucleotide long non-coding RNA is filed under the name Phaseolus vulgaris (common bean). RNAcentral's name for it is "long non-coding RNA (PVUL_LNC003386)". The record is from RNAcentral. Lineage: Eukaryota; Viridiplantae; Streptophyta; Magnoliopsida; Fabales; Fabaceae.